RNAcentral lists this ribosomal RNA (248 nucleotides) under uncultured Bacteroides sp. Its description in RNAcentral is "partial 16S ribosomal RNA". It matches the Rfam family "Bacterial small subunit ribosomal RNA", at positions 524 to 771 of the family's 1533-position model. Lineage: Bacteria; Pseudomonadati; Bacteroidota; Bacteroidia; Bacteroidales; Bacteroidaceae. The record is from RNAcentral.
UACGGAGGAUCCGAGCGUUAUCCGGAUUUAUUGGGUUUAAAGGGAGCGUAGAUGGAUGUUUAAGUCAGUUGUGAAAGUUUGCGGCUCAACCGUAAAAUUGCAGUUGAUACUGGCAGUCUUGAGUGCAGUAGAGGUGGGCGGAAUUCGUGGUGUAGCGGUGAAAUGCAUAGAUAUCGCGCAGAACUCCGAUUGCGAAGGCAGCCUGCUAAGCUGCAACUGACAUUGAGGCUCGAAAGUGUGGGUAUCAA